AGCCCAAAUGGACCUAAAGCGCAUCACUCGUAAUGAGAAGGUCUGGGGUUCGAUUCCCCAAAGCG
RNAcentral lists this transfer RNA (65 nucleotides) under Frigoribacterium sp. VKM Ac-2530. RNAcentral's name for it is "tRNA-Thr". Lineage: Bacteria; Bacillati; Actinomycetota; Actinomycetes; Micrococcales; Microbacteriaceae. The record is from RNAcentral.